AUGAAAAGUCUCUUGAAAGGGAGAUUUUUGCCCGCUGAUUAUGACCAGAUCCUAUUUAUCCAAUUUCAAAAUUGUGCUCAAGGAAAUAGGACUGUUUCAGAUUAUACGGAGGAGUUUCUAAGGCUACAAGUGAGGUGCAACCUUGCUGAAACUGAAGAUCAACAAGUUGCAAGGUACAUCAAUGGUCUCAAUGAUGCUAUUCAAGAUCAAUUGAUGCUGCAACAAAUCUGGUCCGUUGAUCAAGCACAAGCUCUAGCCUUAAAGGCCGAGAGGUUUGUGAGGACAAUAAAGGCAACUAAGGCUCCAUAUCCUCCAUAUCCUCAUACCAAAGGCUUGUCUAGGAGUCGGCCUAAUAGAGUGGAAGAAAAGACCGCUCCACCAAAGGCAAAACGACCCAUCCAGAAGCAAACUAGAGGCAAGGGUAAGUCCAAUGAAGGCCCGAAAUGUUUUAAAUGUGGCGAAGAGGGACACAUAUCCAGCAGUUGCCCACUAAGGAAAUUUGUUAACACAACUACCCAUGAUGGUGAAGGCGAUGAGGAAGAAUACGAAUAUGAAGAUGUAGAGGGACAAGAGGUUUGUCAAGAAGGUGAAGAGGUGGUAUGUGUGAUUCAGCGUCUCCUAUGUUCCACACCACAACCUGACGACACACAACGGAAGAAAAUAUUUGAGAGCAAAUGCAUAGUGAAUGGCAAGAAAGGAUUGAAUAUGAGGAUCACCAAACAAUGCAACCUUCCACUUUCCUUGGGCAAGCAUUAUCGCUCAAAUGUGUUGUGUGACGUAGUUGAUAUGGACGCUAGCCAUGUUCUUCUUGGGAGACCUUGGCAACUUGAUGUGGAUACUACACACAAGGGCAAGGAAAACUCUUAA
Molecule: ribosomal RNA, 867 nt
Filed under: Triticum aestivum (bread wheat)
Lineage: Eukaryota; Viridiplantae; Streptophyta; Magnoliopsida; Poales; Poaceae
Description: partial small subunit ribosomal RNA
Source: RNAcentral